RNAcentral lists this ribosomal RNA (253 nucleotides) under uncultured bacterium. RNAcentral describes it as "partial 16S ribosomal RNA". It matches the Rfam family "Bacterial small subunit ribosomal RNA", at positions 524 to 776 of the family's 1533-position model. The record is from RNAcentral.
UACGUAGGUGGCAAGCGUUGUCCGGAUUUACUGGGCGUAAAGGGCGUGCAGGCGGUCUGUUAAGUGCAGGGUGAAAGCUCCCGGCUCAACUGGGAGAGGUCCUUGCAUACUGGCGGACUUGAGGGGGGUAGAGGAAAGUGGAAUUCCCGGUGUAGUGGUGAUAUGCGUAGAUAUCGGGAGGAACACCUGUGGCGAAAGCGGCUCACUGGACCACAACUGUCGCUGAGGCGCGAAAGCUAGGGGAGCAAACAGA